RNAcentral lists this ribosomal RNA (320 nucleotides) under Bacteroides uniformis. RNAcentral describes it as "bacterial SSU rRNA". It matches the Rfam family "Bacterial small subunit ribosomal RNA", at positions 19 to 332 of the family's 1533-position model. The record is from RNAcentral. Lineage: Bacteria; Pseudomonadati; Bacteroidota; Bacteroidia; Bacteroidales; Bacteroidaceae.
UUGGCUCAGGACGAACGCUGGCGGCAGGCUUAACACAUGCAAGUCGAGGGGCAGCAUGAACUUAGCUUGCUAAGUUUGAUGGCGACCGGCGCACGGGUGAGUAACACGUAUCCAACCUGCCGAUGACUCGGGGAUAGCCUUUCGAAAGAAAGAUUAAUACCCGAUGGCAUAGUUCUUCCGCAUGGUGGAACUAUUAAAGAAUUUCGGUCAUCGAUGGGGAUGCGUUCCAUUAGGUUGUUGGCGGGGUAACGGCCCACCAAGCCUUCGAUGGAUAGGGGUUCUGAGAGGAAGGUCCCCCACACUGAACUGAGACACGUCCU